Molecule: transfer RNA, 69 nt
Filed under: Euprymna scolopes
Lineage: Eukaryota; Metazoa; Mollusca; Cephalopoda; Sepiida; Sepiolidae
Also listed under: 1 other name
Description: tRNA-Lys
Rfam family: tRNA
About the family: Transfer RNA (tRNA) molecules are approximately 80 nucleotides in length.
Source: RNAcentral
UAUUAAGUGGCUGAACAUUAAGCACUAGACUUUUAAUCUAGAAAAUGAUUUUAAAUUAAUCCUUAAUAU